Molecule: long non-coding RNA, 1356 nt
Filed under: Strigops habroptila (Kakapo)
Lineage: Eukaryota; Metazoa; Chordata; Aves; Psittaciformes; Psittacidae
Description: lncRNA (ENSSHBG00005004887.1)
Source: RNAcentral
UUAGUAUUGGCAGUAGCUUUCCGAACUUCAGCAGAAAGAGACUGUUAUUUGAUGUUGGAUUUUCUGGGUACUGCCGCAAGUUCUUAGUGAGGGUGGAUGGAUAUAACAUAAGGUUGUGUAGACACUGUUGCCUGUAAAAGAUGCGUUGCUGCCUGCAAAUUCUUUGACGCAGUCAUAGUGGUUCAGUUGUUGCUUUGCUUUCGCUUUUUAAGAAAAACCCUUUGUUCUAUCCAGUUGUCAAAAUUUUAACCUAAGAUAUCUCACUUGCUAGUUGAAAUCCCACACUACACACUUUUCUUGCAGUGGUGUAUGUCAGAUGCCCUGAAGAAUUUGCAGUGAUCCCCUAACAAUGUCUCAUUUGUAAUAAUGUCAGUCUGGCAAGCGGAUUUUAGAUUAAUAUAAACAUAAAAGAAGCAGUUGUUUUAGCCACCUUUCCUGGAACUGUUGAUUUAUUUGAAGCCAAUAAAGUAUUUUUGACACCCUUCUAGGGGCAUAAUAGACUGAUUGCUUGUCUCACUGACAAAAAUGUAUACCCCCGAUUUUAGGACUUUCCUUACAAUAGAAAACCUAGACUUAUUCAUGCUGUGCUUUAUCAAAGACCUCUCUUUUAAAUCAUCUCUAUAGUCUCUCUCCAGUACUUGAAGAACACUUUGUGCGAAAAGGCAGUAGUAUUUUGGCAACAGUCAUGAGUUGUUUUGUAGGGUUUUUGUGUGUGUGUGCAAGCUUAACCUGGAGGAUACCAGUGACAAAAUUAAUCUUCACACUUCUGGAGUCAAUGUGAUGUAAAGAACUGUUACUUGCACUUUCCUUCUUUCGCUGAAAAUAGUACUUUUCCUAAUGCAGUAUUUAAUGAAAUUAUUCAAGAAAAUGCAUAUCAAAAGUCUAUGAACUUUUUGCAUUUUCCAAAAUUUGAAUUUGGUACAAUUCUGCAGUUGUCUAGCAUAAAACUUUAGCUUUCCAUUUUGUUGCAUAUGUACUUUUAGUACAUAUGUUAGACAUUCCUACAUACCCUGUACAUAUCCCUGUAACUGUAUAUAAAAAGUAGUCAGUGUGUGGCUUUAGCCAUAAGUGCUAAUAAAAAGAAUAGCUGGAAGGAUUGGAAAGAAGUUAAGCCUAUUAAUUUAUGUUCAGUGGUAAGAGGAACUAGCUGAUAACUGGGUUCCCUCACCAGCUAAAAGAAUUGUGGUUAAUCACAGAGGCAGUAUUGUGCAUGUAAUAUUUAGCACACUAUUUGGAAACCUCAAUCUUUGGAUAUUUUGCAAUUUAUAGACAGGGAAGAUCCAGUUGUCAGCUGGAAGAAUAAGUAGUUGAUAUGGAAUGUACAGCUUGUGUAUUAAAAUACUUCUCAGAAAUAAA